Oreochromis aureus is the source of this 1101-nucleotide long non-coding RNA. RefSeq lists it as uncharacterized. The transcript is spliced from 3 exons. NCBI's taxonomy places the organism in Eukaryota, Metazoa, Chordata, Actinopteri, Cichliformes, Cichlidae. The record is from RefSeq and is a predicted model, not a curated record.
AGAGAAGUGUGUAACCACGGUAAUUUCUGACCCCACUUCCGCCAGUCCCUUUAUUGUGGCGGGAAUGAACCCCGUAUAAGUUCCGGGUCAAUCGGCUGCAUGUUCCCUGCUCCUCUGGCUGCUGUUGUCCCUGUGGUUGGCGUUCUUGUCAGAUAUUGACAACUUUUACACUACAUACUAGUUGACAGCGUGCAAUAACCCGGCCGAUUCAUUCAUCUUUACACCACCUCACAAUCGACUCAACGGUCAGGUUUUUUUUCCCCGCGAUCAUCUCUGAUCAGCGCGGGAUGGCGAGCCACCCAACUACCGCUGCACUGCGGCUCCAUAGUCGAAACUACUUCUGGUUGCUCAUUUUCUAUGAAGCUGCAGUCAGGCGCCCUGGUCCUUCACCGUGUUACAAGUGGAUGGAAAUUCUUCAGGCAGCUGACCUCCCCAAUAAUGCAGGCUGUUGUAUCCUUUGUACUCAGCAUCCCAUCUUCCACUGGGUUUGAGGAGAAGAAUAAGUGGACUGAUGUGCGGAACAAAUGUUCUACUGAGUUAAUUAGAAGUGAGCUCAUUGUCAGUCUAAAUUAUGAUAUGUCUUGCUCAGAGUUUUACUCUGCAGUACUGAAAGACAAACAACUCCUAACUGCAGCAAGAGCUCAAAAAAAUACAAAUGGAAAAAGUAGUCUCUUUCCACAUAAUGUAGCAUUGAGCUUUUGAGUUCAUGAGUUUGUUGGGUUUUUUUUACUUCAACUUUCAGCUACAGUCAAGGCCUUUGAGGCACAAAUAUUGUGUUUACAGGUGUUCCACAGACUUUGUUUGCACUUUUCUAAUUGCACUAAAUGUGCGCUGUUACAAGAAUGUUUUUCUUUCUAUUGUUUUCUAUUAAUUUAUAUAAUUUUAGGUUAAGCAGGACAGAGUUCUUUGUGUUAAUUUUGUCAUUUUGCACAAAAAGUGAAGCGUACCAGUCCUUCGUUUAGGAAAGAGACCUAUUUUAUUGUGUUAAUGUUGUCAUUUUGCGUUAAAAAUAAAUGGCUAAAUGAUCAUUUGUUUCCCAUGUGUUCAUAUCACAAAGAAUAUGCAUCUACUUAAAUCAACUUCAAGUCAAAUGGUUAAAAA